CAUAGGUUAAUGAGGCGAACCGGGGGAACUGAAACAUCUAAGUACCCCGAGGAAAAGAAAUCAACCGAGAUUCCCCCAGUAGCGGCGAGCGAACGGGGAGCAGCCCAGAGCCUGAAUCAGUGUGUGUGUUAGUGGAAGCGUCUGGAAAGGCGCGCGAUACAGGGUGACAGCCCCGUACACAAAAAUGCACAUGCUGUGAGCUCGAUGAGUAGGGCGGGACACGUGGUAUCCUGUCUGAAUAUGGGGGGACCAUCCUCCAAGGCUAAAUACUCCUGACUGACCGAUAGUGAACCAGUACCGUGAGGGAAAGGCGAAAAGAACCCCGGCGAGGGGAGUGAAAAAGAACCUGAAACCGUGUACGUACAAGCAGUGGGAGCACAGAGCAAUCUGUGUGACUGCGUACCUUUUGUAUAAUGGGUCAGCGACUUAUAUUCUGUAGCAAGGUUAACCGAAUAGGGGAGCCGAAGGGAAACCGAGUCUUAACUGGGCGUUAAGUUGCAGGGUAUAGACCCGAAACCCGGUGAUCUAGCCAUGGGCAGGUUGAAGGUUGGGUAACACUAACUGGAGGACCGAACCGACUAAUGUUGAAAAAUUAGCGGAUGACUUGUGGCUGGGGGUGAAAGGCCAAUCAAACCGGGAGAUAGCUGGUUCUCCCCGAAAGCUAUUUAGGUAGCGCCUCGUGAAUUCAUCUCCGGGGGUAGAGCACUGUUUCGGCAAGGGGGUCAUCCCGACUUACCAACCCGAUGCAAACUGCGAAUACCGGAGAAUGUUAUCACGGGAGACACACGGCGGGUGCUAACGUCCGUCGUGAAGAGGGAAACAACCCAGACCGCCAGCUAAGGUCCCAAAGUCAUGGUUAAGUGGGAAACGAUGUGGGAAGGCCCAGACAGCCAGGAUGUUGGCUUAGAAGCAGCCAUCAUUUAAAGAAAGCGUAAUAGCUCACUGGUCGAGUCGGCCUGCGCGGAAGAUGUAACGGGGCUAAACCAUGCACCGAAGCUGCGGCAGCGACGCUUAUGCGUUGUUGGGUAGGGGAGCGUUCUGUAAGCCUGCGAAGGUGUGCUGUGAGGCAUGCUGGAGGUAUCAGAAGUGCGAAUGCUGACAUAAGUAACGAUAAAGCGGGUGAAAAGCCCGCUCGCCGGAAGACCAAGGGUUCCUGUCCAACGUUAAUCGGGGCAGGGUGAGUCGACCCCUAAGGCGAGGCCGAAAGGCGUAGUCGAUGGGAAACAGGUUAAUAUUCCUGUACUUGGUGUUACUGCGAAGGGGGGACGGAGAAGGCUAUGUUGGCCGGGCGACGGUUGUCCCGGUUUAAGCGUGUAGGCUGGUUUUCCAGGCAAAUCCGGAAAAUCAAGGCUGAGGCGUGAUGACGAGGCACUACGGUGCUGAAGCAACAAAUGCCCUGCUUCCAGGAAAAGCCUCUAAGCAUCAGGUAACAUCAAAUCGUACCCCAAACCGACACAGGUGGUCAGGUAGAGAAUACCAAGGCGCUUGAGAGAACUCGGGUGAAGGAACUAGGCAAAAUGGUGCCGUAACUUCGGGAGAAGGCACGCUGAUAUGUAGGUGAAGUCCCUCGCGGAUGGAGCUGAAAUCAGUCGAAGAUACCAGCUGGCUGCAACUGUUUAUUAAAAACACAGCACUGUGCAAACACGAAAGUGGACGUAUACGGUGUGACGCCUGCCCGGUGCCGGAAGGUUAAUUGAUGGGGUUAGCGCAAGCGAAGCUCUUGAUCGAAGCCCCGGUAAACGGCGGCCGUAACUAUAACGGUCCUAAGGUAGCGAAAUUCCUUGUCGGGUAAGUUCCGACCUGCACGAAUGGCGUAAUGAUGGCCAGGCUGUCUCCACCCGAGACUCAGUGAAAUUGAACUCGCUGUGAAGAUGCAGUGUACCCGCGGCAAGACGGAAAGACCCCGUGAACCUUUACUAUAGCUUGACACUGAACAUUGAGCCUUGAUGUGUAGGAUAGGUGGGAGGCUUUGAAGUGUGGACGCCAGUCUGCAUGGAGCCGACCUUGAAAUACCACCCUUUAAUGUUUGAUGUUCUAACGU
Molecule: ribosomal RNA, 2041 nt
Filed under: Escherichia coli
Lineage: Bacteria; Pseudomonadati; Pseudomonadota; Gammaproteobacteria; Enterobacterales; Enterobacteriaceae
Description: partial 23S ribosomal RNA
Rfam family: Bacterial large subunit ribosomal RNA
Source: RNAcentral